Molecule: ribosomal RNA, 456 nt
Filed under: uncultured bacterium
Lineage: Bacteria
Description: bacterial SSU rRNA
Rfam family: Bacterial small subunit ribosomal RNA
Source: RNAcentral
UACGGGAGGCAGCAGUGGGGAAUAUUGCACAAUGGGCGCAAGCCUGAUGCAGCCAUGCCGCGUGUAUGAAGAAGGCCUUCGGGUUGUAAAGUACUUUCAGCGGGGAGGAAGGCGAUGCGGUUAAUAACCGCGUCGAUUGACGUUACCCGCAGAAGAAGCACCGGCUAACUCCGUGCCAGCAGCCGCGGUAAUACGGAGGGUGCAAGCGUUAAUCGGAAUUACUGGGCGUAAAGCGCACGCAGGCGGUCUGUUAAGUCAGAUGUGAAAUCCCCCGGGCUUAACCUGGGAACUGCAUUUUGAAACUGGCAGGCUUGAGUCUUGUAGAGGGGGUAGAAUUCCAGGUGUAGCGGUGAAAUGCGUAGAGAUCUGGAGGAAUCCGGGUGGCGAAGGCGGCCCCUGGGACAAAGCUGACGCUCAGGUGCGAAAGCGUGGGGAGCAAACGAGGAUUAGGAUACC